Molecule: ribosomal RNA, 246 nt
Filed under: Triticum aestivum (bread wheat)
Lineage: Eukaryota; Viridiplantae; Streptophyta; Magnoliopsida; Poales; Poaceae
Description: partial small subunit ribosomal RNA
Source: RNAcentral
CUACUCACGCUUUCCAUAUGGAGCUGGGAGCAUUUGCCGGUUGGACGACCGAAGACCGUGAAGUACGAGGAUUGGGACGACAAAGAUGACCCACUACGGCUCCCCACUUGGGCUUACAAGUGGAAUGUGUUAAAUAAGACGACGGAUGAUCCCUCGUGUCGGUGGGAACGACACCUAUGGAUCACAAGAAUCCCUACUGUGGUUAGCGGGGCGCGGGGUCGUGAGAAGAGCGGAUCAAACAGGUAG